Long non-coding RNA from Humulus lupulus (European hop), 703 nucleotides. RefSeq lists it as uncharacterized. The record is from RefSeq and is a predicted model, not a curated record. Lineage: Eukaryota; Viridiplantae; Streptophyta; Magnoliopsida; Rosales; Cannabaceae. The transcript has 3 exons.
UGUGGUGUUUUAGAGUGGUGUGAACCCAAUUUUAUAAAGUUUAACUCCCAUUUUAAUUAAGAAGUCAAGUGGGCAAGUGGGUAGAAAAGCACUCAAGUGUUUUGUGAUAUUUUGAAGAGUUGUGUGAGCCAUUCUAACCCCUAAAUCCGACCACUCUCCCUCCCUCAUUCACUCUCAUCUGAUUUUUGAAGACUCUCUCAAGUGUUCUCUCCAUUUUGAACCCCAAGAACACCAAAGAAACUUGGAAGCUAAGUCUUGGUCUAGGAAGGGUUUUCCCUAAGUUGGUUAGGGUUUUUGAAAGGUUUUGAAGGAGUCAAAGCUUAUAGGAAGGUCCAAACCUUAAGCAAGAACACCAAAGAGUAUUGGCUAAGCGUAACUGGACUGAACGUUGGAGGGUGAAAACCUGCUGAGCGCUAAGGACUCCAAGUAAGUCAACUUAUAUUGUAUGGCUGCAACAUGAAAUGAUUAUUGUCUUGUAUGUUAGUAUAGGGAUACAUGCACAUAUGUAGGCUGUCAUAGAAAGUUGCUUAGAGACGUUAGUCUAGUGAGUGCUGAUUUAGAAAAUAUGAACGGUAGAAGUCCGUCAUAUCCUAGACGGUUGAUCCCCGUCACACUGCUUGAUUUUAUUUAUGUCCGGUUCAUUACCGCGACGAGUGGCCAUGAGAUGAGGAUAAGCUGGUUAAACCUAGGGGAGCCAAGAUAA